CAGCAGCCGCGGGAAUGCGGAGGGGGCUAGCGUUGUUCGGAAUUACUGGGCGUAAAGCGUCUGUAGGUGGCUUUUCAAGUCCGCCAUCAAAUCCCAAGGCUCAACCCUGGACAGGCGGUGGAAAAUACCCAGCUGGAGUACGGUAGGGGCAGAGGGAAUUUCCGGUGGAGCGGCGAAAUGCGUUGAGAUUGGAAAGAACACCAACGGUGAAAGCACUCUGCUGGGCCGACACUGACACUGAGAGACGAAAGCUAGGGGAGCAAAUGGGAUUAGAUACCCCGGUAGUCCCUGUCUCUUAUAA
RNAcentral lists this ribosomal RNA (301 nucleotides) under uncultured bacterium. RNAcentral's name for it is "partial 16S ribosomal RNA". It matches the Rfam family "Bacterial small subunit ribosomal RNA", at positions 509 to 809 of the family's 1533-position model. The record is from RNAcentral.